AGCUGUGCCAGUUUUUCAGGACGGUUUGUCGCCGGUCCUGCUGCUGGCCAGCCUGGUGUGACCUUCCCAGCACACCUUCUGAAAAGCGCCCACUCUUCUACCUCCCUACACUGAUUGUGGGAGAAAUCAUAACUGGGAUAUAUGCUUUUUUUCAUGUAAUUAAUUGGUCCUAUCUCAGCCUUAUUGACCAACUGUACCUUUUUGGCUAACUACACUCAUUGUACAAUUUUGGAUCUAUUGAGAUAGGAAGACAGCAAUCAGAACAGACUUGAAAGGAUUUCUAAGUCAUCUUCAGACUACUGGAAAAGACAAAAAGCAAGGAAAGAAGAUGAGGAAAGAAGGAAACAUCCGUGUCAGUUAAAGAAAGGGAGGAAACAAAGCAGAGUUUGAAGGAAAGCGCUACAAGGUAGGACAGUUCUUCAGACCUUGGCUAUGAGGGAAGGAGUGGUUGAGCUGUUCCAUCACUUCUUCCAGCCCAGAUGCAUCGUGGGAAGGGGUGGACAGGUCGUCAUCACCUAGAGCAGGCAGAAGAAGAUAUAACAGCUUCAAGUAACUCCUGUCCACCCUUAAUCUCAACAUAAUUGUCACGUUGCCCUUUUUCUUUGGGAAAGGACACUUAUGCAUCGCUAUGGUUAGUACGGUUAUGUUGACAACCUGCUUUGCUUACUAGAUUAAACAUUUGUUUUUCAUGCGGAUAAAUUAAUAAAAAAAAACAAUAAAUACAAAUUAAUGUGUUGCUCAAACCACAUUUUCUUGUCCAUAGAAUAACAAAAGCAAACAAACACACAUACAGUACAGAGUUUGUUUCAGUUGUCUUUACUUGUCCUCUUGUCUCUUAACUGUAAUUACUAACAGAUUAUAUAAUUACCAAGAAAUCUGCAAAAAUAAAAACUAUUUGACGUAAUGUAACACAAAAAA
Nerophis ophidion (straightnose pipefish) is the source of this 918-nucleotide long non-coding RNA. RefSeq lists it as uncharacterized. The record is from RefSeq and is a predicted model, not a curated record. NCBI's taxonomy places the organism in Eukaryota, Metazoa, Chordata, Actinopteri, Syngnathiformes, Syngnathidae. The transcript has 2 exons.